This 774-nucleotide ribosomal RNA is filed under the name uncultured Neocallimastigales. RNAcentral's name for it is "partial large subunit ribosomal RNA". It matches the Rfam family "Eukaryotic large subunit ribosomal RNA", at positions 22 to 639 of the family's 3401-position model. Lineage: Eukaryota; Fungi; Neocallimastigomycota; Neocallimastigomycetes; Neocallimastigales. The record is from RNAcentral.
GUACACGCUGUGACUAGCAUAUCAAUAAGCGGAGGAAAAGAAACUAACAAGGAUUCCCCUAGUAACGGCGAGUGAAGCGGGAAGAGCUCAAAUUUGAAAUCUUAAAGGGUUUCCCUUUACGAAUUGUAGUUUAAAGAAGUGUUUUCUGUUGAGGUUUUGGUAAAAGUUCUUUGGAAUAGGACAUCAUAGAGGGUGAGAAUCCCGUAUUUGACCUUUACUUUCAACUUUGUGAUACACUUUCAAAGAGUCGGAUUGUUUGGGAAUGCAGUCCAAAAUGGGUGGUAAAUUUCAUCUAAAGCUAAAUAUUGGCGAGAGACCGAUAGCGAACAAGUACCGUGAGGGAAAGAUGAAAAGAACUUUGAAAAGAGAGUUAAACAGUACGUGAAAUUGUCAAAAGGGAAGCGUUUGACACCAGUGUUGUUUUUCUGAAAAUCAAUUAAAGAACUGUUUAUGCUAAGUUGUUUAGACUUUAUCAGCUAACUGUUUAGUUUUGAGCUUUUCUUUAAUGCACUUUUCAGUUAACAAGUCAACAUCAAUUUCUUUUGCUGUAAAAAAGCUUGAGGAAGGUGGCUUGAGAUUCGUCUUAAGUGUUUAUAGCCUCCUGCCUAUGCAGUCGGAGAGAUUGAGGUCUGCAGCGUAGAUCCUUCGGGGCUAAAUGCAUUUGUGCUAAGUUAUAGCAUUUUAUAGACAACUUGUUGACUAUGAUUUGUCUUGUAGCUUACUCGCUUAUGCUAUUUUACCUACGCUUAGGAUGUUGACGCGCGUGUGUGCGUG